GCUCAGGGAGAAGGUAGGGUUCGAUGACGAGGUGGUGGGAUCCAGAGGGAGGAUAGGAGUUGUCGUAAGAGGGAGAAGGGGCAGAUCUGGAGGAGAGGCAGGGGCAAGGAGGAGUUGGGGGCGGCCAGAUUGGGCAAGGGAGGCUGGUAGGAGACCGGGGCGAGCAGCAGAGGAGGACGGAGCAGACUAGGGGAGGAAGGCAGGGCAACACGGAUCAGGGGAGGAACGGUGGGAGGCGGCGGAGAUCUGGGAAUUCGGGGGGUCGGGGGAGGAAGGGGGCGAACAAAGGGGGUGUCCGAAGUGAAGGAGGGAGGGGGAGUUUUAUACAACCCCUCAAACCCUAGCCCUGCUGGGCCAGCCCAAUAAAAAUCCAAAGAAUUUUUCUAUUUAUUUCAUUUUUGUGUUUACCAAUGUAUCUUUUAAGAUUUCAAGUAGAAUAUAAUAUUUAUCCUAAAUACUAUUCAAACCCCAAGCUCGUACUAUUUAUCCCAAGUAUAUGUCUCUAUAAUUUUUAGGAAGAAACAUGCACACACUUAUAGUUAAAAUUUGAAUUAUUUUUGGGAAAUCCGUAGAAAUUCAUUUAAACGGGAAAGAGUACCUAGAAAGCUAGAAAAUUCAAAACCAUUGAAAACUAGAAAUUAAAAAUGGUCUACUCUGUAUGAAAAUUGGAUAGGUGCCAUUUUGAACCAUAUUAGUUGUAGUUGCUUCACAAUAUACCACCUUUUGCACUUAGAAAAACAGAAAAUUAUUUUUAAAACAAAAAAAUUAUUGUAAACCUAUUUGACAAAAUUGUUUGUCAUGACAAUAUUAUGUACCGUUGUGCAAAACAUGGAUACAUUAUCAUAAAGUAUGGCAUAGAAAUGGUCAAAACUUCGGUCAUCAGUGCGGUGGUUCUUGAGUUUAAAACCGACAUAUCAUAUAGCACUCGAUCUAACUGCCUCUGUCUGGAGCUCUGCAUCCUUUCCCUCCCGAGAGACGCCUCAUCAUAUAGCACAUUCAGUAUACUCCCUCCGUGGAUUCGUAUAAGAAUCCAAGUCAGUUAUUUUGGGACGGAGUGAGUACAUGUUUUUGCCUCUACAAAAAUGCACGUUUUGCUUACUCACGGCUGCAGUUGGCCACAACAGUUUGAUUACUGUGCGAGAACGUGAGUUGGAUUAAGUCACAAAAGAUCAAAUCUUACAUACUGAAUGCACGCAUGUGUAUAGUAGCCUAGUACAGUACGAAGCAACCUGUUAGCAAACCAGGAAAUGAAACUCCACGAGUCACUAUAUAUGGAGUGCCAAUUCAGUUGGUGUCAUGCUCGUCAGCGAUGUGGAUGAACCGCAAUAUAUAUUUUGGUAAACAAAGCAUAUAUGUGGACUACAACAAUCUCCAGUCUCACUAACUGAAGCCCAAAACACCAUCGUGAAACAUAACAGCACAAAGGACCACACUGGCCGACCUGGCCACUCACACUCGCUCAACGCACGCUGCCGAAGAAGAUUGCAGUCGAGGUUGCACGCAGAAGUCAUCGUCAUCACACAAGCACUCCUCCUGAGCCGGCGACUCCGACUUCCCCCACCAACGUCCAAGAACGGAGACACUACUCUUGCAGGAACGCAAGCUCAUGUCGGUCCAUGCCAAACAGUCGGCCGCCCUCGCAUGUGAACAAAAGACACCCAUUCUGGGGCGAUAUGCAGGGCCUGCGCCGACAAAGGACCACAAAGAUCGCACCGUCUCACACCAAUUCAUCGUCAUCACGCCUCUGAGCUGGCGACUCCGACUUCCCAACACAACGAAGCAACCAACCCUGAAAAUUCAUCGGACACGUCGGAAAGACCGACAACAAAAACCAUUGCCGCAGCCCCUGGGCAUCGCCAUCGUUGGCCCCGGCCAAGGCCGGAGCGCAGCUUUCACCGAGGCACCGCCUCUCUCUUCUCACACCAACGGCGAAACAAAUCGUCUGCCGCCGCGCCGAGAACACUGCCAACCACCACCAAGGCAGCACCACUGCUGCCCCUGCAUCCUGGCGCAAGAUUUGGCAAGAGCCUAACCAAAUCCGGCGGCAGGGCAGCAGCAGCGCCGCCCAUACCUCGCCCCCCGCCGUCGUGCUGCCGAUAGAGACCGCAGUCACACCACCCGAAAGAGCAGCACGGCAGGCCCCUGCACCGCAGCCGACGACCGCGCGGUGCCUGCCCCCAGCAGGCGGCCUCCCUCCCGCACCGCCGCAGCACGCCUGCACGCCGCCGCCCGCCUCACGCCACCAGCCGAAGUAGUUGCCGCACCUCGAAAUCCGCCGCCAACCGGCACAGGGAGACCCUGCCGCCGCCUUCCGCCGUUAGCCCGUCGGCCUCCUCCGGCGACGGCGAGGGGAGGGACGAGCUGGGGAGGACAGGGGCGGCGGCGGCUAGGGUCUCGCUCGAGCCGCCCCCAAAGAUGACUCGGGCGUGGGGAAAGGAGUUUUUUUAACUGAAAGCAAUAUCCUCUUCUUAGGGCAUGUACAGUGUUUUCACCCGGUUUUCCGUUAAUUAACUGGACAACUCUAUUCUUCUCAAUUAAUAGAUUGAGUCCUUUGGACUCCGGUUUUGUGGAUUCUGAAAUUUUCGCAGGCCUUUAUAUAAUCCCACUGUGGGCGGUAUCCACAUGGCCUGUGAAUAUGCUCAUCUAUUUUCCUUGUGCCAUGGAGAUCAGAUAACGAUAAACUACCAUGAUCGGUGAAAAUCGUGGCACACACACACUCAUCUUCCCAAACAUAGGAGCGGUACGUUGGUUAUGAGCAGAACAACGUACAUGAAAGUUUUCCCGGCUUUCCGAAAAUGUUCCUACUCUUCUUGGAGAGCAAUCACCACAAUACUACUCCUCUCUGUUCCUAAUUAAUCGGUGCCGGAAAUUUUGCAAAAAAAAAUCCUUUCUAUUUCCUGAAAUCGACCUGCAGUCCACGUUUUAACAGAUGUUUUACAAAAAAAAAACCCUGUAGUUUUUCGAAAUCAACGCACAGUCCACGUUCAAUUGAAGACGUGGAGUAUAUGUUGAUUUCGUAAAUUAACAGGAGUUUUUUUUUACAAAAUGGCGAACGCCAAUCAAUUCGGAACGGAGAGAGUAGCAAUUAGUUCCUUUGCCUUUCCCCAUGCACCUGCUUCGCCUAUAUAAACACACAUACCGCAGGUUCGGUUUGCUAUACACUACUGCCAACAUGCACGCAUCCAGGAGCCUUAUGCGCGCUAGCUGCAAGGACGCGACCUGUAGAAUAGGAUUGAGAGGCUUCGGGAAUUUUGGUAUUUCCGCUUCGUGAUUUCGUGUAGAAAUCUGCGAGGCGCUGCAUGCUCACCGAGAGCUGCAAUAGGUUGAUGGGAAUGGCCAGCAACGUACGUUGUGUGCGCUCAAGGCAAAUCAUCUCAAUGCAAGAUUGUGCUGCCCUCGGCUCGAAGAAACCACAUAGCCAUGUCAUCUCAGGGCAAAUUGAUGGGAGUAGCUGCCCUCGGCGUAAGUUAGAGUGAUCAACAUCUCUGAUCGAUCAGCAAAUUGUAAGUUCUGGUCUCCCAAAAAUUGAUGAAGUCUAAAAGAGCUCUUGUUGCAGGGAACAGUGAGGUUGAAAGAAGUCUGUCCACAUGGACAAUGGUCAAUAGGCUCUUGUCCAAGGCGAGGAUUUUUCCUAAGCUAAUAACUUGUGCAAAAUCUGGUAGCUGGUAAUAUUGGCCAGUUCUAUUAAGUUGGAAGAAAUUUGAAGUUGCACUUAUCCAUGGUGGCAUUUCCUCAACCUUAUAAUAUUUUUGCUCAUCUAUUCUUAACUCGGUAAAAUAUUUAUUGCCAGACAACUUGAAUUAAGGGUUAAUCUUCUUAAAACGCCUUCAGAUAUGGGAUCUCUCUGGUUCCCUCAAUCUGCGGGUCGCUUGAGAUGCAAAUAUAAUGGAGUAAAUUUCACAGAACCACACUUUUUGUGGCAGUUGUCUCAUAAAACCACAUUGUUUGUAAUAUGCUUAUAAAACCACAACUUUUGCGGCAGCUGGUCUCAUAAAACCCUAAUCUCGAUAAUUAAGCUAGUUGAUUGUAUUUAAGACAACCCGGGGCCACCAGUCAGAUGCCACGUCAUCUUCCCUGACCCAUUUUCGACGCUCGUUUUCGAUGCCACAUCAGUUUCUACCCGACCCUGAGCAAAUGCAGCUGACGUGGGAUCGAAAACGGGUGUCAAAAAUCGGUUUGAAAGAUGACGUGGCAUCUGACUGGUGGCCCGGGUUGUCGGAAACACCGUAAACCAGCUUAAUUAUCGAGAUUAGGGUUUUCUGAUACCAGUUGUCCCAAAAGUUGUGGUUUUGUGAGACUAUUACAAACAAUCGUGGUUUUGUGAGACGUCUACCACAAAAAGUGUGGUUCUG
This 4352-nucleotide long non-coding RNA is filed under the name Brachypodium distachyon (stiff brome). RNAcentral describes it as "long non-coding RNA (BDIS_LNC004431)". The record is from RNAcentral. Lineage: Eukaryota; Viridiplantae; Streptophyta; Magnoliopsida; Poales; Poaceae.